Molecule: unclassified non-coding RNA, 839 nt
Filed under: Zea mays
Lineage: Eukaryota; Viridiplantae; Streptophyta; Magnoliopsida; Poales; Poaceae
Description: misc RNA Zm00001eb267530
Source: RNAcentral
GAUGAUGGUUUUCCAGUUUAGAUAUUUGGUUGAGUCCUAAGAGAGCGCUUACAGGCCUCGCCUCUCUCAAACAUCAGGGAUUUUUCAUCCAAAGCAAGUCCGACUUCAAGCUUGCGAGAACGUCGACAGUCUCCGAAUAAAAUUUUUGAUCGAACCCUUGGCGAGCAUUAAACUAAGCUUCACUUCGACGACAACUAGAUUGAUAUCGGGACUCGACGGCAGCACAACACCACCACGAGAUGGAGGCAAACUGGUACGACGGCUUAGGACAUGUGAGGAGGCUGACGAGAUCCGAGCUGGGGAAAAAGAACACAUGACUGGGCGUUAACGGCCGGGUCCGAACUCGAGGGAGAAACUCGACCGGCGAGCUGGAGCGAGCUAGGCACACCACGAUUUGAGGAAGCUGCGUGCAGAAAAACGUGCGCGCAGGGACGAGCUCGACAGGGAUCUUGGCGAGACCACGGCGCUGGAAGUCGAGCGCAAUCCGAGCUGGGCGAGCUGCACCAAGGAGCAGCAGCCGGCCAUGGGAGGUGGUGGCCAAGCAAGCUGGGGAUGGCCGACGGCGCUGGGGCUGGACGCGCUGGAUACCGAGCGCGAACAGGAAGAAGCGGAGGCCGAGCUGGGCACCGGCGCGCGUCAUGGGAGAGAGCAGAGCGAGAUCCGGCCAGGAAAUUGGCGAGCUGGGAGAUGGAGCCGAGAGGGCUGCGCAGCGGUCAGGCGAGCUGGGCAAGACCUCGGCUGGGCGGACCAUGGCGGACAGAAACAACGAGGCAGCUCGACGUGCUCAGCUGCCGUGGGAGAUAAGACCGGCGGCAAGGCAAGAAAUAUCCCAGGCGGAG